Molecule: ribosomal RNA, 940 nt
Filed under: Bacillus safensis
Lineage: Bacteria; Bacillati; Bacillota; Bacilli; Caryophanales; Bacillaceae
Description: bacterial SSU rRNA
Rfam family: Bacterial small subunit ribosomal RNA
Source: RNAcentral
GCCUAAUACAUGCAAGUCGAGCGGACAGAAGGGAGCUUGCUCCCGGAUGUUAGCGGCGGACGGGUGAGUAACACGUGGGUAACCUGCCUGUAAGACUGGGAUAACUCCGGGAAACCGGAGCUAAUACCGGAUAGUUCCUUGAACCGCAUGGUUCAAGGAUGAAAGACGGUUUCGGCUGUCACUUACAGAUGGACCCGCGGCGCAUUAGCUAGUUGGUGGGGUAAUGGCUCACCAAGGCGACGAUGCGUAGCCGACCUGAGAGGGUGAUCGGCCACACUGGGACUGAGACACGGCCCAGACUCCUACGGGAGGCAGCAGUAGGGAAUCUUCCGCAAUGGACGAAAGUCUGACGGAGCAACGCCGCGUGAGUGAUGAAGGUUUUCGGAUCGUAAAGCUCUGUUGUUAGGGAAGAACAAGUGCGAGAGUAACUGCUCGCACCUUGACGGUACCUAACCAGAAAGCCACGGCUAACUACGUGCCAGCAGCCGCGGUAAUACGUAGGUGGCAAGCGUUGUCCGGAAUUAUUGGGCGUAAAGGGCUCGCAGGCGGUUUCUUAAGUCUGAUGUGAAAGCCCCCGGCUCAACCGGGGAGGGUCAUUGGAAACUGGGAAACUUGAGUGCAGAAGAGGAGAGUGGAAUUCCACGUGUAGCGGUGAAUGCGUAGAGAUGUGGAGGAACACCAGUGGCGAAGGCGACUCUCUGGUCUGUAACUGACGCUGAGGAGCGAAAGCGUGGGGAGCGAACAGGAUUAGAUACCCUGGUAGUCCACGCCGUAAACGAUGAGUGCUAAGUGUUAGGGGGUUUCCGCCCCUUAGUGCUGCAGCUAACGCAUUAAGCACUCCGCCUGGGGGAGUACGGUCGCAGACUGAAACUCAAAGGAAUUGACGGGGGCCCGCACAAGCGGUGGAGCAUGUGNUUAAUUCGAAGCAACGCGAAGAACC